RNAcentral lists this transfer RNA (82 nucleotides) under Daphnia pulicaria. RNAcentral describes it as "tRNA-Ser". It matches the Rfam family "tRNA". From Rfam's summary of the family: Transfer RNA (tRNA) molecules are approximately 80 nucleotides in length. Their secondary structure includes four short double-helical elements and three loops (D, anti-codon, and T loops). Further hydrogen bonds mediate the characteristic L-shaped molecular structure. tRNAs have two regions of fundamental functional importance: the anti-codon, which is responsible for specific mRNA codon recognition, and the 3' end, to which the tRNAs corresponding amino acid is attached (by aminoacyl-tRNA synthetases). tRNAs cope with the degeneracy of the genetic code in two manners: having more than one tRNA (with a specific anti-codon) for a particular amino acid; and 'wobble' base-pairing, i.e. permitting non-standard base-pairing at the 3rd anti-codon position. The record is from RNAcentral. Lineage: Eukaryota; Metazoa; Arthropoda; Branchiopoda; Diplostraca; Daphniidae.
GCAGAUAUAGCCGAGUGGUUAAAGCGACUGACUCGAAAUCAGUUUCCAUCUUGGAGCGUAGGUUCGAAUCCUACUAUCUGCG